GUCCACGCCGUAAACGAUGGGCACUAGGUGUCGGGGGUAUCGACCCCUCCGGUGCCGUAGCUAACGCAUUAAGUGCCCCGCCUGGGGAGUACGGCCGCAAGGCUAAAACUCAAAGGAAUUGACGGGGGCCCGCACAAGCAGCGGAGCGUGUGGUUUAAUUCGACGCAACGCGAAGAACCUUACCAGGGCUUGACAUGCACUGGAAUGUCGGUGAAAGCCGGCAGCCCUUCGGGGCCAGUGCACAGGUGCUGCAUGGCUGUCGU
This 263-nucleotide ribosomal RNA is filed under the name uncultured bacterium. RNAcentral describes it as "partial 16S ribosomal RNA". It matches the Rfam family "Bacterial small subunit ribosomal RNA", at positions 793 to 1055 of the family's 1533-position model. The record is from RNAcentral.